CUGCUGCCCAUGCGGGGAAGGAUGAGAAGCUUCGACCAAGGUUCGACUCGAGCGCCAGCGAGAGAGCGUUGCCGCAGGCAACGACCCGAAGGGCGAAG
RNAcentral lists this small RNA (98 nucleotides) under Escherichia coli. RNAcentral's name for it is "partial RtT sRNA". It matches the Rfam family "RtT RNA", at positions 1 to 96 of the family's 130-position model. From Rfam's summary of the family: This family represents a bacterial cis-regulatory element known as RtT RNA. The exact function of RtT is unknown although it is thought that it may be involved in changing the cellular response in relation to amino acid starvation. Lineage: Bacteria; Pseudomonadati; Pseudomonadota; Gammaproteobacteria; Enterobacterales; Enterobacteriaceae. The record is from RNAcentral.